GUGAUAUGUGUUAAAGAAUUUAUGUGUGUGUGCUUAAGAGAAUUUUUACUACUAUCUCCAGUUAGAUUCACUUGUGUCACUUAUGUAAAUACUUCAAGAAGGAAGAGCCUUUUAGGGUAUUUCAAUUAAAAACAGCAAAACUGUGAACCUUUACAAUAGGGGGUAUGCUCAAAUAAUGACUAGUGAACCCUUAAGUCAUCUCCUGGAUAUUUGAUGAGCCAGAGGCCAUGAGGAAAAGAAAUAGGAGGUUUCGAUAAAAAUCUGGAUAUCGGUUAAACUUUUUAUGGUGUAUCUUGCAUUUGGAAGUAUUGGUUAGCCCUUCACUGCGUGAGCAGUAAUAGCUUAAUUAGUGAAAUAUUAGCAUUUUGGAUUUGGACAGAUCUUUGGGAUCCCCAAGGGAUAUUUCACAGUGAUAUGAAACCACUAUGCUGAGUAAACAGAUGGCAUCUAUUAGAAAUGAUAGGCAAAAUUAAGCAGUCAGAACUCUAAAUAUAAACAAGAACCACAAUCCUUUUGGAGCUGGAAGGGACCCCAGAGAUCAGGCAAUCCAACCUCCUCUGCACAGAAGAAGAGACUAGGGCUUAGAGGGCAAAUGACUUGUCUAAGGUCACACAGCUGGUAAGUGACAGAGUCAUGAUUAGAACCUAGAUGUUCUAAGUCCAAUUCUCCUUGAGAGCCUUAGACACCAAAUCUCAGCACUUCCCACCAGAAUAACCAGGGGUACUAGAUACAUGCUUGGAAAUUCCACUGUGAGAUAUUAAGUCUCAGAGUUUUGUCUUAGACGUCAUAUACUUUUUGUAUUACAGUUGACUACAUUCAUGACAUUUUUACUCUCCUUGAGCUGAAGUAUUAUUCCAAAAGUUUGCCCCAUGUUUAAAGUGUCGCUUCUUGGGCCUCCUGGCACACUGCCACAUACUUUUCACCUUUUCGGCACAAAGCAGUAAGCAGUCUGAAUAGUAGGCAUAGCCAGGGCCUUUAUCAUCUGGAAGGCCUCCAAGGAGGUGUAUUUUCUUUGUUGCUGUUACUGAUUGAAUGUAAUUUUAGUCCUGCUUUAUGCUUAGCCUUGUCACUAUGUGAAAGUGUAAAUAGACUUUGAAAUCAAGUAUGAAUUUAUUUUUCACUAAAAUUUAUAAAGAUGCUGCCUGUCAGCUUAACAGGUAAGGUUUUAUUUAACAGGUACGCAUAAGCUUAUCCUCUGGUUUUCUACUUGGACAGCCGUCAGCUGACACAUACGAGAGCAAGUCAUGAAGAUGCAGUACACUCAGGCUUUUGCACAAUUUCAUGAGGGGCCCUGACUGAGCUCUUAAGAAAAAUCAUUGCUGCUGUCAUUCAGUAAAUGCUUUAGGAAAUAUUGAAAGACUUAAAUACAGGUGUGAACCUAACUGGCAAUGGGAAGCAGAUCUCACAAGCAUGAUCAGUGUGAGGACAAGCAAUAAUUUGAAGAGGGCCAAAGUUUUCAGAGAUUCCGAGAAAGGUUGCCCAGAACGAGAGCUCAAGUUACACUGCACUUCAGCCUGCAUUUGUCUGCUGGAGGAGUCUGCUUUUCCUAUUUCUAUACAACAGAAAGAUCACUAUUUCAUGCACAGUGAUGAAAUUCAUUAAGGAUGGUGACUAAAUGGAACAUCGUGGUUCCUCAAGCCAUAUGAUUAAACUGUUAAGCUGUACAAAA
Ceratotherium simum simum (southern white rhinoceros) is the source of this 1669-nucleotide non-coding RNA. Lineage: Eukaryota; Metazoa; Chordata; Mammalia; Perissodactyla; Rhinocerotidae. The record is from RefSeq and is a predicted model, not a curated record.